This 301-nucleotide ribosomal RNA is filed under the name uncultured bacterium. RNAcentral describes it as "partial 16S ribosomal RNA". It matches the Rfam family "Bacterial small subunit ribosomal RNA", at positions 509 to 809 of the family's 1533-position model. The record is from RNAcentral.
CAGCCGCCGCGGGAAUACGAAGGGUGCAAGCGUUAAUCGGAAUUACUGGGCGUAAAGCGUGCGUAGGCGGUUUGUUAAGUCUGUUGUGAAAUCCCCGGGCUCAACCUGGGAAUGGCAAUGGAUACUGGCAAGCUAGAGUGUGUCAGAGGAUGGUGGAAUUCCCGGUGUAGCGGUGAAAUGCGUAGAGAUCGGGAGGAACAUCAGUGGCGAAGGCGGCCAUCUGGGACAACACUGACGCUGAGGCACGAAAGCGUGGGGGGCAAACAGGAUUAGAUACCCCAGUAGUCCCUGUCUCUUAUAA